Molecule: microRNA precursor, 96 nt
Filed under: Marmota monax (woodchuck)
Lineage: Eukaryota; Metazoa; Chordata; Mammalia; Rodentia; Sciuridae
Source: RNAcentral
AGAGGAAUUGCUGGGUCAUAUGGUUGUUCUAUUUUUAGAGCAACCUCCGUACUGCUUUCCAUAAUGACUGUGCCAAUUUACAAUCUCACUAACAGU